UAGGGAAUCUUCGGCAAUGGGGGGAACCCUGACCGAGCAACGCCGCGUGAGUGAAGAAGGUUUUCGGAUCGUAAAGCUCUGUUGUUAAGGAAGAACGAGUGUGAGAAUGGAAAGUUCAUACUGUGACGGUACUUAACCAGAAAGGGACGGCUAACUACGUGCCAGCAGCCGCGGUAAUACGUAGGUCCCGAGCGUUGUCCGGAUUUAUUGGGCGUAAAGCGAGCGCAGGCGGUUAGAUAAGUCUGAAGUUAAAGGCAGUGGCUCAACCAUUGUAGGCUUUGGAAACUGUUUAACUUGAGUGCAGAAGGGGAGAGUGGAAUUCCAGGUGUAGCGGUGAAAUGCGUAGAUAUAUGGAGGAACACCGGUGGCGAAAGCGGCUCUCUGGUCUGUAACUGACGCGGAGGCUCGAAAGCGUGGGGAGCGAACAGG
Molecule: ribosomal RNA, 429 nt
Filed under: Bacteroidota bacterium
Lineage: Bacteria; Pseudomonadati; Bacteroidota
Description: Bacteroidetes bacterium partial 16S ribosomal RNA
Rfam family: Bacterial small subunit ribosomal RNA
Source: RNAcentral